Long non-coding RNA from Passer domesticus (house sparrow), 4008 nucleotides. RefSeq lists it as uncharacterized. The record is from RefSeq and is a predicted model, not a curated record. The transcript is spliced from 4 exons. NCBI's taxonomy places the organism in Eukaryota, Metazoa, Chordata, Aves, Passeriformes, Passeridae.
AUAUUACUAUCAGUGUAUACUGUGAAUAGACUGAAUUUUUUAUCUUGUCCUUUCAGUCUUACAGAGUGACAGCAGGACCAAGCUUUCAAGACCCACAGAUCUUGAAACUGAGAGCACCCAUCAGGGACUUGGUGUGAUAAGCAGCUUUCAUCUUCUCUGCUCUGUGGCAUUGGCUGCCUCUGUACUAUGGUCAGGUCCCCCACCUUUUAUCUCAAUGAUUUCAAGCUCUUUCCCUGCUCUGGACUGUGCCAAGUGACUGGGUCUGACACAUCUGCCCUUGGCCUUGAACCCAUCCCGGGCACUGAGCAGCAGGCUUACCUGAACUGCAUCUGGAGCAUCCCUACCAGCCUUGUGGCAACUCAGUUUCAGGUGUUUUUGAAGGAAGAAGUGAUUUUCCACAGCUCAUAUAGCUUUUAUCAGAAUAUUCUUAAUAUUAAGCAAUGAUGCCAUUCAACGAGUUAAAACUACCACCCUCUAGAGACUAUUCAAAAUUCAGUAACCUUGGCAACAAAAUAAAAGCAAUUCCGAUUUAGUUGUUUCAAAUGGGGAGCAUACACCCUUACAUAUGUGAACAUAUUGUUAACAGAUUGGUUUAUGUUCCUAUUUUCUUAAUUGUAUGGCUUCCUUAAACAUUCCACUAUUAGAAAAUACUACAUUUUAUUCAUCUAAAAUUUGUCCUACAUUACAGAACAUCACCUGAUCAGGAAAAAAACCAAACAUAUCUCUCUGGAACAGAGUCAGAAAAUGGUGCAGGAGCCUACAGACAUUCUUGUCAACUGACUACAACCAGAAAAUAACAGUAUGCAUUCAGGUGAUUUUUCAAGGCAAACUGAGUAGUCACUCAUUGUUUUCAUAUCUUAUGUUUUGGAGAGUCUCUAAACUUGCUCCAUCCCUUGCAGAGGUAUUCAUUUCAGGGUAGGAAUCAAAAGAGGAAUAUUCCCUUCAAAACUGAAGCCUCAUGUAGCACACAGUUCAAAUUCUGGAGCCAAGAGACAAGCUGGUGAGUCUGGACAGUGCUGCUAAACAUGGAAAUGUCUGGGACAAAUGGGAAGAGGUUGAGUGGCUCUGUGUCCCAGCACCCAGCACCACUGAGGUCCCUGUGCUCUGCACCUCCACAGGACUUCACAAUUGAAUUUGGCUGCCUGAGAUUUUCUUUUUUGCUUUUGCAAAUGAUACCAAAGUGUUACCCUCACUCACUUAGGAGGCUUCAGGCAAAAAGCUCAGGCCAUCUAACAGCAAACUGCUAGAAGUGCUGUAUGUUUUCCUUUUUUAAGUUGGUGAAAUAAUUUGUUUCCCCAAGCUAGUGAUAAUAUGGAUUUGGAGCACAGCUUUCCCAGAUUUAUUUAAUAAAGGGUUACCAUUUUUCUUCUAGCAGAAACAAUCAGAGAAAAGAAAGCUAUUCUCCUCCACACAAUGGAAAGCAGGAUUAUAGAAUAAAUGCAAGGGAGAUAAGAAAGGUGAAUCAAUUUAAAUGACCUUUACUCAAGAUUCAUUGAAACAAAUGAAUAAGAGGAUUUAUCUAGCAGAAAAUAAAGCGGAAAUAAGAAAAUAAUGGCUAAACAGCAAACUAAAGGAAAAAUUCUAAUUAUAUUGAAAGAGAUUUGCCAGGGUUUCUUAGUUUAAAAUUAAAAACAGCUUAGAGUAUGUUAAAACAUGUAUAGAUUAAAGCUGAGCAAACAUAAUAAACCCACUUGGACAGCUAAGCUAGGAGUAGAAUAGAAUGCAGUGCUUGCAGCUGAGAAAGAGCUUUGCCUAUUUGCACCAUUAACUUUCUAAAAUUUAGUCCUCCUACCUUAUGGAUCAACUGUUUCAGAGAUUAAUUGGCUUGCUAAUACCAUAAAAUCCUAUUUUUUAUUUCUCACACAGGACAGGAGCCUAAAUAGUCCAUUGCAAAGCUAGGCAAAAAAAGCACAUAAAUGGAAUUUUAAUAGUGCCACAAGAAAUAGCUGUGGGGCUGAAGGUCCUGAAAGUUGCCUAAGCCCUAUCCUGGUGCACAGGGUCCUCAGGCUGACAUUGGCCUGGCUGUGCCAAGCAGAGGAUAGUGCCAAGUGUGCAAAUCCAGAGCUGGGGGUGCCAGCCAGCACCCACACCCCAGCAGCUCCACCUGGAGCCUUUGCUGCCCACAGCCAGCUCAGCAGUGCUGCUGAGCACCCUGGACAGCAUCUUCCUUCCAGUGCUGGGCAGAACCUUAUGUGGGUUGUUUGUUCCCCAUCAAUAUUUUUUUCAUAUUUGUAAAAAAAGCACCCUAAAUAAGCAAACUGCAUGUACAGUUCUUCUGGCAAAGGAAAAAAAAAAAAGCCUUUUUUUUUUUGUUUGCUUAGCUUAAACCUUAAAUUUUGCCUCCUUUUGAUAUGACAAUCAACCAACUAAGACCAUUAAUUACAUGGUGAUGAAUUUCUUUCAGUGCACAGAUACCAGGGUAAUAGGUUUAAGCAAAGUCAUGGAAUUUGGCAGCUUUCCUUUCCUAGCAAGAUUAUGUCAGUGCUCCUAAAUCCAUUGAUCCGGUGAGACAGUAAUUAGUUAAUUUAAUGAGAAUCAAAGGAUUUUAGCCUGCAGAAUUUACAGUACUAACAAGACAGGUUAUUUUUGGAAGCUAUUUCCAAUAAAAACACUUCAAUCAGCCAGCAAGAAUAUUGUCUCUUGAUUAAAAACAUGGCGCAUCGUUUAUCGCUAUCACCAUGGGGUUAGGCUAAUGCUGGAAAGUAUCCUGUGCUUACUCUGGUUUUGGCUACUGUUAGAGUGCCUGUUUUGUUUUAAGAACAUUAUUGUGAAUCACCUUUGUGAGCAUCUUCUUAGGGUGCAGCCAUGUGCAUGGAUGGUUCUGCUUGUUCUUGUUAAUUAUUUUCCCCGCAGUGAGGAGCUUUCUGCUGGUGCCUGACUGCUGUGGCUGCCAGGGGCAAUGCAGUGGGCAGGGAAAACAAGGCUCAACUGCAAAAGGCAGAUUUGCUUGGCAGCAAGACAUGCCCAAGAAAUGCUGGUUUCAGCUGAGGGGCUCCACACAAGCCAAAUGUGUAGGAAAACUGUGUUGAGCUUGCACGGUCCUGGAGACUGCCUUUGCCAUAUCUCUGAAGAAUAAUUAAUUGCUCUGAAGAGACAUCCUAAACCUGGCAUUUAAUUUCACUCUGCAGAGACCUAGCACUUCUGCUGUUAGCACAAACAAGCAAAGAAACCAAAACCAUUUUGCAAAAAAACCAAAUAAAGCCAUGCAGGAGCCAGCUAAAGGAAAAACGCAGCCCAUGGGUCUCUGCUCACUCACACUUAGCCUGUGCUAAGCAGGCCCAGGUAUAAAAGCAUCUGAGGCAGACACACAGCUGGACAUCCCUCACUCCCUUACCAGAUUUUGGCUGUGCAAGGGACCUCUGGGAAGAAAAUAUCAUCUGUGGAGAAGUGUCUCCUGCAACUGUGAGAAGUCAGGCCUAAGGCUAUGAAAAAUGACAGUAACGAUGUUCUUCAGCUGCAAGGACAGUCAGCAUUUAUGAAGGAAGAUUGGGCUACAGCAUCCCAAAGUCCACAAAGAGCUGAUGACAAUUGGAUAGUCCCAGUCAAGCCCCUGCACUCCAUGUAUGCCUUUUCUACAAAGUGAAAUUGUACAUUGUAUUUGUUAUAGCUUCUUUUCUCUGAGUGUUUUAUAUGGGAUACCAGCUCACAUAUCAGAUCACAUUUCAUUAUCUUUUAUGGUAAUGCUUGGGCCAUAUAUCAUAUUCUCUAAUAAAUCUUAGCUUUGGCAGCACAGUAUCAUAAUCUUACCUUUCAAAACACUGCUUUCAGCAGUAGAUACACAGGGCUGCAUCUUCCACGUGGGUUUUUUGCAGUUUAUCAAAAUGAAACAUGACAUCUACUGUAAAUGAUAUUCCCAUUUAGUGCUUAAUGAUACAUCUGCUUCCUCUCAUCCACAAAUUCUGAUGGCUUGCUAAACAGAUAUUUUGUUUAGUGACAACCUGCCAAACUGAGGCUUCGUUAUCUUCAGCCUAUCAGCAAUGGAGGCUGGUGCAAUUAUGAGUUGGGACU